CUCUACAAAAACGCAAACUAUGAACAUAAGUAAGAGUCUCAAACUUUUCAACAUAAUGCUAUUCAUUACCUUUUACCUUUCUUGGUACUGUGAAGAGGACCUUGCCCUUGGAAUCCAUAAGAUUAACUUCAUCUCUAAAGUUGCAAUUGUAGUUAUCAACACGAUACACAAGUUGACCCUUCGCGUCAAAGACAGUGCAACCUUUGCAACCAAGCACUAGAGACUUCAUCCAUAUUGUAUAAGUUUCUUGUUUGGAAAUGAAGUAGCAGGAGGCAGAGGGAAUUACUACUUGGGGAUGAACCUUUACAGUCAUAAAGUUGGAUUUACUCGCCAACAUCUAUUGAGCAUUUAGAAGUAAGCUAUGUAGGAAGUUUAGUAGAUAUAUAUAUAUAUAUAUAUAUAUAUAGAGCAUUAUUUUUUUCAACCGACUGAGUAAUGCUUUUUAUAUAUUGGAAUAAUAAUAUGAUCAUUUGAAAGAUUGGCAUAGGAGAACUAGAUAAUCGUUGUUUAAGUUCUUGACUUGUUCUUUAGCAAUAAAAAACACUCCUGAAAAAAUAGCAAUAAGUCAUUAUUUUAAAAAGCGCCCACUUUUCAUAUGUGGCUAUGCAAGUGUACUUGAACCUUAUCAUUUAAUGACUCUAUAUAUGGAGCUUUCACUGUUACAUUCUGGAGAUUUUAGUCAAUUGAUCUCCCACUUGGUGGUUUUAUUAUGGAGUUAACGUUGCGCACACAGUAAGUUUCAUGUUCUUGAUCCAGUACUGUAGAGACAGCCACUUCCUAUGUAUUUUGAACACAGUAAGUUUCAUGUCAUGCUUUGUAUGAUUAGAUACCUGACAACGGUGGAAUCCUUAUCAAGAACUGCCAUGUAUCACUAGACAAUAUGUACCACAUUCAUGCACUGAAUAGAUGAGGCUUUCUUCAAGCAAAAAUGUUGUGUAGCAUGAGAAAUCCGUCUUCAUUUUAUGAACUUAAUUUAUAUUUUGUAGAAAAUAUCGAUUGUAUUACAUACCAAUUGCCUAGCUUGGUGACACAGUCAUAUAAUUAACAUCUUGGACAGUGUCUAAAUUUCUCACAAAACUCUAACCUUGCUGUCCCACACCAACCCAAAAAAAAAAAAAAAAAAAAAGCACUGGAUUCCUCCUCCAUGGCUGCCUAGUGGACAUUAGACUAAGAUGGGGGGUAUUGAGAAACCUUGUGGCUACUAUUCAAUGACAAAUGGCUAAAAUAUGACCAAACAGUGACUUGAGAUCAUAUAGAAUUUGGCCAGCAUAGAAAUAAGCAUCCUGCAAUAUUUUUUUGUGAAAGAAUAUGCUUGUUUCUGUCUCUCUCAGCAGGCCUUUCUCUGGCGGCAUUUAGUAAUGAGUAUUCCACUACCAGUUUUGUGGAUGUGUUUUAGGCCUUUUUCUGGAGUUUGGAUAAUUAUCAGCCACUCAAAUUAAAUAAGGAAAGUCGGUUAACUUAUCUGAUUAAUUUAUAAUGUAAAGUUUGUUCUCCCUCUCUUAUUCAAAUCUAUCUUAAAGAAAUGAUAAGAUUUUAGGGAGUUGGGCAUGCAUUCCUGAUAUUCGAUACACUGGUUGUUGGUAUUUCUUAAUAAAUAUUAGUUGUAA
Juglans microcarpa x Juglans regia is the source of this 1607-nucleotide long non-coding RNA. RefSeq lists it as uncharacterized. The transcript has 2 exons. Lineage: Eukaryota; Viridiplantae; Streptophyta; Magnoliopsida; Fagales; Juglandaceae. The record is from RefSeq and is a predicted model, not a curated record.